CUUUACACAUGCAAGUCGAACGGUAACAGGUCUUCGGAUGCUGACGAGUGGCGAACGGGUGAGUAAUACAUCGGAACGUGCCUGGUAGUGGGGGAUAACUACUCGAAAGAGUAGCUAAUACCGCAUGAGAUCUACGGAUGAAAGCAGGGGACCUUCGGGCCUUGUGCUACCAGAGCGGCUGAUGGCAGAUUAGGUAGUUGGUGGGGUAAAGGCUUACCAAGCCUGCGAUCUGUAGCUGGUCUGAGAGGACGACCAGCCACACUGGGACUGAGACACGGCCCAGACUCCUACGGGAGGCAGCAGUGGGGAAUUUUGGACAAUGGGCGAAAGCCUGAUCCAGCAAUGCCGCGUGCAGGAUGAAGGCCCUCGGGUUGUAAACUGCUUUUGUACGGAACGAAAAGCCUGGGGCCAAUACCCCCGGGUCAUGACGGUACCGUAAGAAUAAGCACCGGCUAACUACGUGCCAGCAGCCGCGGU
RNAcentral lists this ribosomal RNA (477 nucleotides) under uncultured bacterium. RNAcentral describes it as "bacterial SSU rRNA". It matches the Rfam family "Bacterial small subunit ribosomal RNA", at positions 47 to 521 of the family's 1533-position model. The record is from RNAcentral.